UACGUAGGGGGCAAGCGUUGUCCGGAUUCACUGGGCGUAAAGGGUGCGUAGGUGGUGAGGUAAGUCGGAUGUGAAAGCUCGGAGCUCAACUCCGAAAUGGCAUUGGAAACUACCUUGCUCGAGGGUUGGAGGGGGGACUGGAAUACUUGGUGUAGCAGUGAAAUGCGUAGAUAUCAAGUGGAACACCAGUGGCGAAGGCGAGUCCCUGGACAACUCCUGACACUGAGGCACGAAAGCUAGGGGAGCAAACAGG
RNAcentral lists this ribosomal RNA (253 nucleotides) under uncultured bacterium. RNAcentral describes it as "partial 16S ribosomal RNA". It matches the Rfam family "Bacterial small subunit ribosomal RNA", at positions 524 to 776 of the family's 1533-position model. The record is from RNAcentral.